This 1279-nucleotide ribosomal RNA is filed under the name Picromerus griseus. Its description in RNAcentral is "16S ribosomal RNA". The stretch from base 836 to 1202 matches the Rfam family "Archaeal large subunit ribosomal RNA", at positions 2151 to 2715 of the family's 2987-position model. Lineage: Eukaryota; Metazoa; Arthropoda; Insecta; Hemiptera; Pentatomidae. The record is from RNAcentral.
AUUCUUGUUAAUUUUAAUUAUUAUUUAAUAGAAGUAACUUAAUUUUUAGUAUUUUUAAACGAAUUAAUGGUUAUUUAUUUAUAGUUUAUUUAACUGUAAAGGUUAAUUUUUUUUAAUUUAGAAGUGGAAUUUAUUUAUUGUACCUUUUGUAUCAGGGUUUAAUCAAAUUAAUUUUAAUUAUUUAUUAAAUUUCCCGAAAUUAGAGGAGACAUUUAUAAUUGUUAUUUAGUGUGUCAAAAUUAUUGAUAAAUUAUAAAUAGUUGUUAUAUGCUAUUCAUCUCUAAAUAUCUGGUUUCUUAAUAAUUGAAUUUAAUUCAGGAUUAUAUAAAUUAUAGUUUAAUUUUAUUAUUGAUUAUUUUAUAUAAUCCAAAGUUAAAGGGGAUAAGCUCUUUAACUUUUCUAUAAAUGAUUAACGUCAAUAUAAAUUAUGUAGGGUUGAAAAUUUCUUUCAUUUAUUUUGUUAUAAUUACUUUUAUUUUAAUUAUUUAUUUAUUUGUGUUUUUUUAGGUUAAUAUUGAGAUUUAUUUAUGGAAUUUUAUUAUAAUAGUAAUAAUGAUAGAAUUAGUAGAUUUGGAGAAUUAAUAUAUAGUAACUCGGCAAAUUUAUUCUUCACCUGUUUAACAAAAACAUGUCUUAUGGUGUAUUUGUAUUAAGUCUAGCCUGCUCAAUGAUUUUUAUUAUAUAGGAUUAAAUGGCCGCAGUAUUUUGACUGUGCGAAGGUAGCAUAAUCAUUUGUCUUUUAAUUGAAGGCUUGCAUGAAUGGUUGGAUGAGGGAAUAGCUUUCUUUAUAUUAAAAGUUGAAUUUAAUGUUUCAGUUAAAAAGCUGAGAUUUUUAAGUGGGACGAGAAGACCCUAUAGAAUUUUUACUAACAGGGUUUAAGUAUUAUUUUGAUAAGAUCAAAUACUUAUAUACUAGUUAAGUUUUGUUGGGGUGACAAUGAGAUUUAUUUAACUCUCAAAUAUAAUUUAUUUAUUAAUUUAUAUAUUUAGGAUCCUAUUAUAAGGAUAAUUAGAUUAAAUUACCUUAGGGAUAACAGCGUAAUUUUUUUGAAGAGUUCUUAUCAAUAAAAAAGUUUGCGACCUCGAUGUUGGAUUAAAAUUAGAUUUGAGUGCAGCAGCUUAAUGUCUAGGUCUGUUCGACCUUUAAAUUUUUACAUGAUCUGAGUUCAGACCGGCGUGAGCCAGGUCGGUUUCUAUCUUCUUAUUUGUUAAUAUGGAUUAGUACGAAAGGACCAUUCGUAUCAAAUAAUUAUGUUAAUUUUGAUUAUUAUUAAAAUUC